This is a long non-coding RNA of Peromyscus californicus insignis, 6404 nucleotides long. RefSeq lists it as uncharacterized. The transcript is spliced from 2 exons. The record is from RefSeq and is a predicted model, not a curated record. NCBI's taxonomy places the organism in Eukaryota, Metazoa, Chordata, Mammalia, Rodentia, Cricetidae.
GCCUUGCCUCCCCCGCCCUUUCUCCCGUCCCCGCCACCCGAGGUCCACUGCGGGACGAGGUGGCCGUCUCCACCCGGGCCCUGGACGGACGGCCUUCUCGACCGAUCGCUCGCGGGCUCUCCGGGCCAAGUCCUGGUGGGGGCUCAGGGAGAGAGGGAGGGGGAGGGGAGAAGGAGGAGGAGGAUCCCUGACUCAGAAGAGGUGACUCAGCCUCUGUGGGCCUCCCAUCCCACGGAGUCGGAUCCCCUUCACUCCCCUGCAGAUCCCUUUUACUCCCCUGCAGCGCAGCGCGGGGCAGAACCCGCCUGGGAUGUGGCGUUCCUCUCCCACUAGGGAACCCGCGUGGCAACUGCCUUCCGGGAAUCAUCCCAGCUUGCUGUCCCCUGGGUGUGCGUGUGCCCCAGUACCUACGUGCCUCUGUGACCAUGACAGUAGUGUAACAGCAAAGGAAUCCUGCAGGGGUUGGACCUGUAUAAAGGUGUUUACUAUACACAAGGACACACCGUGGUGUGUGCAGCCAGAUUCAAAGGGGUCACAGAGGUCAUGGCUCAAAGCCAAGCUAAACCCUGCCCCUCCCCUCCAGCAGCAUGUUACAACUCAAAAAGCCAGUUCCACCAGGACAGCUCCCUCCUAUCCAAGCGUUUGGCAGCCACAGAGCACUCUGGAAAAGAGAGGGCCUGGGUUCCGAUCUAGUUCUGCUACUGGUUCAGCAAGUACUCUUGGCCAGCUGCUGCCAUGCUCUAGGCUUUAGUGCGGAAACCAUGAAAGAAAGGAUAGAUUGAGACUAACCCUGUCCCCGGGCCCCAGUUGGUGAGGAAGGCCUGGGACUGAUGGCAGCAGCUCAUACAUGCUCACCAAAGACGGCUCCCACGGUUCUACAAUGGUAACCCAUGUGACCCUCACUCCUGGCCAUCACCCAGGCGUGCUCAGGCCCUCUUUCAUUCUUCCAACCAUCUUGCACACCUACUAUGUGUAGGUCACUGUUCUGGGCCAUAGUGCUGGACAUCCUGAAACUGUGAAGCCAAGCCACCUAGAUGUGGUCUGAGGCCCCUGUCAUCUACCCUCUCCACACACUGCAGUUGUAUUAAUGUUAUCUUUAGUGUGUGUGUGUGUGUGUGUGUGUGUGUGUGUGUGUGUGUGUGUACCAUCUCUGCUCAGCUUGUCCCACACCCCCUCCCCAACCCCUGUCUUUCAAGUAACACUAGAUCCUAUCCCAAACCUGGAACUCUGUAGGCUCUGCCCUCUCCCAGCUCUCCUUCGGGGAUCCAAGGCUCUGGCCUUUGCCCCACCACCAGCCAGGCCUUCUCUUGAGUGUAGACAAGUCCCUUCAUCCGGUGCUUCAAGAGUCAGUCCCAGGACCUUGCUGCCACCUGCUAUCCACUAGACUCAGGAGUGGGCAAGAGCAGAAAGACACUCACACCCUCCUCCAGAUGAGAGGUGGAAAACAGAUCCGCUCAAGCCAAGUGGGAAGGGCUCCCUCACAGACCCUAUAUCCUGGCCUCCCUCACCCAGGAAACCUCACACAGGUCCUUAGGAGGACGGCCUCUGAGCAAAUUGCUGACCCUCAAGAGUAUACACUAUUUGAGUUCAGUGUUCGUUUGAAUUAACGCCUGGAACAAUCUGCCAAACUCAGGAGUGACUUCAGAGGGACUUGCUCUGUGGGCACAUUUGUGGAAAGGGCCUCCCUCCACUGCCUGCCUCUCGGCAUUUUGCUUCCAAGAUAACCUUUCCUCUUCUGCCUCCUCAACCACAAGCUCCCAAGGCUGCAAAGCUAAGGCCCUCCCAUUUCUCACAGUUUAACUCUUUCCCAGACACCCCCUCUCCCUUCCCCAGACAUCACUGCCACCCCCGGCCUUCCCCUGGGGCAGAGCCUGGUUCCCAGCCUCCUUGGCCACGUGGAGCCUCUCACUUUCCCAGGAAAACCGAGGCUACUUCAGGACCAAAGCAGGAUGUUCCCAGACUUCAUUUUGGAUUCAUACCCAAAGGGCCCAACUCACUUCCGGUCAAUGGCAACAUGCUGAAAGUUGGGUAGCUUCUAGAAUGACGUUUGUUUCUAUUUCUGUUGUUUUUAUCAUUAUUUUCUGUGAUUAUUUUCUAUCCCUACUAUUAGUACUCUCCAGUUUGCAGAAUACUUGGUUUCACAGCAUCGUUUGAGUUAACGUCACUCCUCUCCCCAAUUUAUAAAUAAGUAGUCAAGGCCUGGCUGGAGUGGUGAGUGAUUUGGCCAAGGUCACUCUACACAGUUAUGCGGGCUCUCUGGACCAGGUCCCUUCCACUUUCCCCACACCAUUUCUCCAGAGAAAUGACAAACAAGAGACCGCGUGGGGACUGAAAAGAAUGCAUGCUUCUCCAGGCAUCACUGAAAUCACGACCCUGUUACUUUUCUGCUUCCAUUCCCCAAGCAGGGAAAUUGAGGCAUGGGAUUGAUUCACUCCCACCAUGUAUCAUGAAAGCCUCCAUAGAGAAACAUCAGGGAUGGUGGUGAGAAAGGCCGUCGCCAUCGUCGUCGUCAGAUGUGAAUUAGUCAGCUUCCAGCCCUGGUUCUGGCUCCCCCUGCUGUUUAACAUGCACAGGUGGUCUGACCUAGCUGAGCCUCUGUUUAAUCACCUCUAAGGUGAGAGGAACCCCUGCUGCACAUCUGUUCCUGGGUCGCUGUGAUGGGAGUUCAGCAGAGGCUCGCAGAGGAGGGAGGACAGAGUACUGGAACUCCCCCCCUGCUCUGCCUAAGGAGGAGGAGAAAGUCUUUUCUCUUAAAUUUUAAAGAUAAGGGGACUUGAAGGUGUAGAAGUCCAAGAUCUAAGAAAGCCAGGACACAGGGAGAAAGCAGAGCACACAGCAUCAGCUCCAGGCCUCCAAGAUGACUGAAGGGUCAGAGACUCCACCAAACAUCACACAGGACUCCUCCAAACACCCUUUGACCUUUCAGAGGAGGAACUCAGGCCCCAAGCAAAGCAGAAUUUGCCAAAGCUACCCCCAGUAAGCAGUGAUGCUUCCUCCGAGGCAAGCCCUGGACACCAGAGAAGGAAGAACUGGGGAGUGUGACCUUGAAUUCACAAUGGUCCAAUGGGUAAGGACAACACACAAGCCAGCACAUCAGAGGGUGUCAUAGAUCAACCACUCUGCCACUUGCCGAGCACUUCCCCGAGCCUGGCACUAGACACACAUUCAUGUGCUUAAUCCCCGAAACAAUUCUCUGGCCCUGAAAUUACUAAUCCCUUUCACAGCUGAAGUGACUGAGGCUCAGAGGUUUGGUGUCUUUCCAAAGCUCACCCCGCUGAUAAAUGGCGGGACUAGAAUGUGAUGGCCAGAGCCAGCUGAUGCUAAGCCUGGAGCUUCAGCCCUCACAGACUGGCUCCCCCCAGCCUUUAGGUCUGUGCUAGUCAACACUGGAGCCGCUGGCCACAGGUGGCUAUCAACUACCCGAAAUAAACAAACGGAAACGUGCAGUAAAUGUAAGACAAAUGGUGGGUUUUGAAGUCUGAGUACUAAAAUUAAAGAGAAUGUUAUGUAUUUCAGUCAUUCUUGUAUUAAUAUUAUGAGAUCAGGCAUGCUGGUAUGGGAUCCCAGCACUUGAGAGAUGGAGGCAGAAGAAUCGGGAGUUCAAGGCUAGCCCUAGCUACUACCCCAAAAUAAUUAAUUAAUUAAAAAUUACAGAUGUAUCAGAUUAAAUAAAAUCUCAUUAGAAUAAUGUCGUGUGUGUGUGUGUGUGUGUGUGUGUGUGUGUGUGUGUGUGUGUGUGUUGCUAGGAACCCAACCCAGGAUCUUGGGCAUGCUAGACAACUCUGUCCCUAAGCUAUAACGCCAGUCCUGGCUUUGUGUGUAUGUUGUAUGUUUCUGGCUUUGUGUGUAUGUUGUAUGUUCCUGGCUUUGUGUGCAUGUUGUAUGUUCGUAUGCAUGUGUGGGUGUGCAUGUAUAUGAGUGCCUGUGGAAUAGAUCAGGUGCUCUCCACCUGAUCUUUUUGAGACAAGGUCUUUUCACUGAACCCAGUGUUUGGACUAACCAGGCUGGCCUCAGAAUCACAGGGAUCCACCUCCCUCUGCCUCCCACAUGCUGGAACUAAAGGUGUGCGCCACCAUACCCAAUCUGGUUCUGUUUUGUUUGGCGUUUUUGUUGUUGUUGUUGUUGUUUUGACAUUAAGUCUUGCUAUGCUGCCCAGCAGACUGGAGUUGAACUCCUGGACUCAAGGGACCCGCCCACCUCAGCUUCUCAAGCGCUGGGACUAAAAGCACAAAGCACGCACAAGCUGCUUUUUUGUCUUUUUAAUUGCGUUUAUGACUUGCACGUGUGGCUCACACUGUGUUUCCUUUGGUCAGUAUGGACUUUGAUACUCUGCAGUCCUUACGGAGCCCACGGAGAUGAGAAAAGGUAUCUUGGAGGAGGGGGCGGCUAAGACACACUGGAUUAAAACAGAGGUCUCACGAGGAGGGUAUUUCAGGGCAAGAGAUCUGCAAGACAUCCGGCUCUGGCCCCAGAGGGCAGCAGGGCCUGGGUGGGCUGAGCUAAGCCCCAGGCAGCUGAGAGCUGGGCCAGAGGGAGGAAGCUACUGAGGCCAAACUUUCCAAAGCAGCAUGUCGUGUCCCUGUGGGCUUGGGAAGCUCAGCCUGGCAAGGCUGCUCUCCCUCACUGCUGGCACUCACAGACGGCACUGCGGGGCAGCUGGGUCCGAGCAAGCGAGCGGAAGGAGAAGGCAGGGUUAGAUGAACAACAGCACAAACAGGCAGGGGCCCUCCCCUGCUAGCUGCUCCCUACCUUCUUCCCUCUCCACUCCACCAGGAAGCCUCCCCAAAAUGCAAUCCCCAAGGGUCUCACCUCCCCUUGAACCUUGGCCUAGAUUGGGAACUGCAUGCUCCCACACAGAGUCUUUGUAGACUGCCACUGAUGCCCCGAAGCUCACGGCAGCCCAUGAGUAUAAAGCACUAACUAGUCCACAGCUAGUGUAGCAUGGUGAAGAGCGAAGCUACCCCAGUGAAGGGCUAGUACAAGAUGGAGGCACUCCUCGGUACAGGAGCUCCAUGACCUUGGCAAAGCUUGACCCCAAACCUGGGGGUGCUAUGGGCACUGCCUCUUAGCACUGCUACAGGAUGACAAGGCCCCCACUAAGGGGGCCUGGCAGCUCAAAUGCUCUCCCCUACCACAAGUGAGCACCUCAGCUACCUCUCAUUACCCUUGGUCUCUCCCAAGUCUACAUAUGCUCAAGAUUGCAUUCCUUCCAAGGAAAGCCACCCCACCCUCACCCCCGCACUCCCUCUCUGCUUCCUCCAUCCAUGCCCCACCCAGCCUAGCACGCCUUCUCUGCCUGCCACAUCCUUGCCUCCUUCUAUCUCACUUCUGAUUCCAGGCUCGGUUGUCAAAGAGGCACCCUGGCUUCACAACCCUGCCUCCUCUCACGGGCAGGAAGCUUGCCCCCCACUGCCAUCUGCAUACCCACAACCAAGCCCUGGACAGAGCUGGGCAUCCCCAGGGCAUGCACAACUGACUACUAUUGCUGAUCUCCAGGGGCACAUCAAAGGGCAGACUCUGCUCACCUUCCCAGUGAAGAGCCUUUAGCAGCACCUCAGCCUCUGAUGAAAGAACUCACUUCAGCUUGACUCUCGAGACCUUUGCCAGCCUGCCCUCUCCUUGGUGCCUCAGCUUCAGUCUCAGAACCUACCUGAUGGGCUCUGUCACACUGAUGGUUCUGGGUCCCCAGGGUACAGUAGCUCGGCCACAAGCUUGCUUUCACACGUGUUUUUUCCUCUGCCUGGACGAACUUUCCCUUUCCCAUGGUCAUUCUUCUAGUCAUGGCCCAGGAAGUCCUUCCUCAUGCCCUCCUCUCUGCAACAACCCCCUACAGCUAGACACAACAUUGGCCUUUCCCCCUCCAACCAGCACUGCCCACUGGCCCUGGCUUAUGUGACUUGCAGAAAGCCCUUAACCUCCUGAUGCACCAUAGCUUUAUGAGAGAAGCUACUUUGCAUCUUCCAAACCAGGAGGGUCCUUCUUGGUGGUCAUAUGAGCAUAGUAUGGUCACCUUCACCCCAGAGCCAGAGGUCCAGAAGCAAGGGGAGUCAGGAGUUCACCAGAAUGUCAGGACACCCUGAGGAUGAAUUCUGCCAUCUCAAUUUCACCUUGGCUACAGUUCCUUCGGGAGGCUCCAUGCAUACUUCCAGUCACUGCCUGGGAAAUCUGCCCUCCUCUAGGAGUCUGGGAACCAUGCUAUGGGGCCUGAAUAUGAAAAAUGUGGCCAAGUUCCCACUGGAUACAGACUGCCACCCUGCCUGCCAUCAGGAGCCUGAAGCGUCAGCUGAGGUUUUGUUGUGGUGGCAUCACAGGUUCCUUGCAGUCAGAGGAGAUCUCAGAGAACAUCACACAGAAGCUAUGAGGAGGGGGGGAGCGAUGGGAGAAAAGCUGUCCGUUUGCCUGUG